This 21-nucleotide non-coding RNA is filed under the name Caenorhabditis elegans. The record is from RNAcentral. Lineage: Eukaryota; Metazoa; Nematoda; Chromadorea; Rhabditida; Rhabditidae.
UCUGUCAAAGAGUUAUGAAAA